CAUGAGGUCAGAGGAUACACGAUUCAUAGCCAUCCAACUCUGUUGGAAAGCAACGCCCCUCAAGUAUCAGAGCAACCUGAAGAUAAUAGGAAAUAAUCAAAUAUCCAGGCAAGGUGGAUAAGUUCGGACGCGGUACGCCGUCCAGCUCAAAGACAAGGUGAGAUGAGAUACCUAGGUCGGCAUGGUCGGCAUUAGUCCGUCUGAUUGUCGAGAGAAUGACUGAUCAAGCACCGCUAGUAAGACCGUCAAUGGGUUCGCUAGUCGGAGUAACAAAACUGAAAGGAGCUCGACAUAUCCAACGACCCCGACAUUAGAUUACUCGUUGAGGUCGGAUCCAUGCUCGAGCUUAGAUAUGUGAUCGAGGUCGGAUCCGUGUUUGAAGAGUUACCUUUCUUCCUGGGUUUUGGCUUCUAGAACCAGUGUUCUGCAGAGAAAUAUUUCUGGGUUGGUUGGUCGGAAUAACAAGACAGAAGGAACUCGGCAAAUCCGACGACCACAGCGUUAGAUUACUUGUUGAGGUCGGAUCCGUGCUCGAGC
This 537-nucleotide long non-coding RNA is filed under the name Manihot esculenta (cassava). RNAcentral describes it as "long non-coding RNA (MESC_LNC000157)". The record is from RNAcentral. Lineage: Eukaryota; Viridiplantae; Streptophyta; Magnoliopsida; Malpighiales; Euphorbiaceae.